This 504-nucleotide ribosomal RNA is filed under the name Alternaria porri. RNAcentral's name for it is "eukaryotic LSU rRNA". The stretch from base 149 to 302 matches the Rfam family "5.8S ribosomal RNA". Lineage: Eukaryota; Fungi; Ascomycota; Dothideomycetes; Pleosporales; Pleosporaceae. The record is from RNAcentral.
GCUGGAAUCUCUCGGGGUUACAGCCUUGCUGAAUUAUUCACCCUUGUCUUUUGCGUACUUCUUGUUUCCUUGGUGGGUUCGCCCACCACUAGGACAAACAUAAACCUUUUGUAAUUGCAAUCAGCGUCAGUAACAAAUUAAUAAUUACAACUUUCAACAACGGAUCUCUUGGUUCUGGCAUCGAUGAAGAACGCAGCGAAAUGCGAUAAGUAGUGUGAAUUGCAGAAUUCAGUGAAUCAUCGAAUCUUUGAACGCACAUUGCGCCCUUUGGUAUUCCAAAGGGCAUGCCUGUUCGAGCGUCAUUUGUACCCUCAAGCUUUGCUUGGUGUUGGGCGUCUUGUCUCUAGCUUUGCUGGAGACUCGCCUUAAAGUAAUUGGCAGCCGGCCUACUGGUUUCGGAGCGCAGCACAAGUCGCACUCUCUAUCAGCAAAGGUCUAGCAUCCAUUAAGCCUUUUUUCAACUUUUGACCUCGGAUCAGGUAGGGAUACCCGCUGAACUUAAGC